This 532-nucleotide long non-coding RNA is filed under the name Lepisosteus oculatus (spotted gar). Its description in RNAcentral is "lncRNA (ENSLOCG00000021704.1)". The record is from RNAcentral. Lineage: Eukaryota; Metazoa; Chordata; Actinopteri; Semionotiformes; Lepisosteidae.
AGAGAGAAAGAGAAGGGGGAACCCGUGUAGAGGCGGUGACAUGCGAUCUCUGUUUCCCUUCUAUUACACAAGAGAAGCCGCCCGCACUUCAAACAGCCUGGGCCCCCGGACAACUCUUGAAGGCGAGGAAUGAGCAGCGCAGAGACGCGCUAGAAAAUUCGCCACCACCUUUGUGUUUUCGCCACACAGCUCUCCACUCGAUCAUCUGGUGUGCGACUAGAGUUUCAGACACCGUGGCUGUAUUUCUGCAUGGGGAAAUGGAGGGAGUCUUUCACUGCAGUGUUCUCCACAACGCAGCGCUGGGUCUCUUUCUUUUUCAAGGGCUUCUAGCUGGGGGUGGUCCAGGCCCGGUUCUGGAGGGCUGGCAUGUCUUUGGGUGUUCAUUCCAACCCAGCUCAUAAUAAUCCCAAACCAACUUGCAAAACCUUCAUUGGAUAAAUCUACAAACCCCUCCCAGCUCCUCAGGUGCAGCAGCUUUAAAGAGAACCUAGAGAACCUGCAGUCACUGGGCCCCCUGAUGUUCAGCUGCUGG